AUAAACUUAAACCACUUUCCACAACGGGUCGCGUGGGGCCCACCUCAUUGAAGAACGCAGCGUAAUCCGUUAAGAAUGGUAUUGCUGAAUUCCGUGAAUCCUCGAAUCUUUGAACGCGCCUUGCGCUCCUUGGGAUUCCAAGGAGCAUGCCUGUUUGAGUGUCAU
RNAcentral lists this ribosomal RNA (165 nucleotides) under Tricholoma vaccinum. RNAcentral describes it as "5.8S ribosomal RNA". It matches the Rfam family "5.8S ribosomal RNA". Rfam says of the family: 5.8S ribosomal RNA (5.8S rRNA) is a component of the large subunit of the eukaryotic ribosome. It is transcribed by RNA polymerase I as part of the 45S precursor that also contains 18S and 28S rRNA. The record is from RNAcentral. Lineage: Eukaryota; Fungi; Basidiomycota; Agaricomycetes; Agaricales; Tricholomataceae.